RNAcentral lists this ribosomal RNA (280 nucleotides) under uncultured Loktanella sp. Its description in RNAcentral is "partial 16S ribosomal RNA". It matches the Rfam family "Bacterial small subunit ribosomal RNA", at positions 29 to 334 of the family's 1533-position model. Lineage: Bacteria; Pseudomonadati; Pseudomonadota; Alphaproteobacteria; Rhodobacterales; Roseobacteraceae. The record is from RNAcentral.
AACGAACGCUGGCGGCAGGCCUAACACAUGCAAGUCGAGCGCUUCACUUCGGUGAGGAGCGGCGGACGGGUUAGUAACGCGUGGGAAUAUGCCCUUCUCUAUGGAAUAGCCUCGGGAAACUGAGAGUAAUACCAUAUACGCCCUUCGGGGGAAAGAUUUAUCGGAGAAGGAUUAGCCCGCGUAAGAUUAGAUAGUUGGUGGGGUAAUGGCCUACCAAGUCUACGAUCUUUAGCUGGUUUGAGAGGAUGAUCAGCAACACUGGGACUGAGACACGGCCCAG